GACGAACGCUGGCGGCGUGCUUAACACAUGCAAGUCGAACGGAAAGGCCCUGCUUUUGUGGGGUGCUCGAGUGGCCAACGGGUGAGUAACCCGUGAGUAACCUGCCCUUGACUUUGGGAUAACUUCAGGAAACUGGGGCUAAUACCGGAUAGGAGCUCCUGCUGAAUGGUGGGGGUUGGAAAGUUUCGGCGGUUGGGGAUGGACUCGCGGCUUAUCAGCUUGUUGGUGGGGUAGUGGCUUACCAAGGCUUUGACGGGUAGCCGGCCUGAGAGGGUGACCGGCCACAUUGGGACUGAGAUACGGCCCAGACUCCUACGGGUGGCAGCAGUGGGGAAUAUGGCACAAUGGGCGGAAGCCUGAUGCAGCAACGCCGCGUGCGGGAUGACGGCCUUCGGGUUGUAAACCGCUUUCGCCUGUGACGAAGCGUGAGUGACGGUAAUGGGUAGAGAAGCACCGGCUAACUACGUG
Molecule: ribosomal RNA, 468 nt
Filed under: uncultured bacterium
Lineage: Bacteria
Description: partial 16S ribosomal RNA
Rfam family: Bacterial small subunit ribosomal RNA
Source: RNAcentral